UCCACCUCAAGCCCAUGCUUAGUCCAGC
This 28-nucleotide non-coding RNA is filed under the name Mus musculus (house mouse). The record is from RNAcentral. Lineage: Eukaryota; Metazoa; Chordata; Mammalia; Rodentia; Muridae.